UACUUGCCUGGAAGCUUUACCAGUAACAUAAACAGUCAAAGAACACAUAUUUGUACAUGUAUUAUAUACAAUAAAGUAAGCCAGAGGUAAGAAAAUAUUAUUAAGAAAAUCAUAAGGAGAAAAUAUAUUUACAGGACUGUACUAUGUAUGUUGAGAAAAGUUAACAUAGAAGUGGACCCAAAUUGUAACUUAUUUACACAGAAAAAAAUGUGCCCCUCUUAUUUUUUUCCUCAGACCCCACAUCCAUUCUUUAAGAAAAUUUUAUUGAACCUUCCUUCAAAAUAUCUCAUCCAGACACUUGUCAUGAAUGCUGCUAUAUCCUUCUAUCAACCACCACCCAAAUCUGCCUGAGUGACUGCACAAUAGCCAGAUAUGUCACUGAUGAUCACUUUGUAGUAGGGAAGACGCCUGCAUGAUGUCCAGCACUGGAAGAUGCUAAAUUACGUUUGUUACUGCAGCAGUCAGAAAAAUGACAUGCCAGAAUCCCUAGUCCCUAGAAUCUGGAAAUGUGUUACCUUCUUUGGCAAAAGGGAAUUUGCAAGCUGUCAACAAAUUAAUGAUCUUGAGAUGGAGAGAUUAUCCUGUUUUAUCCAGGUGGCCAAUGUAACCAAAAAGGUCCUAAUAAAAGUUGAAGUGAAAUACAAGAGUAUCAUAGAGAAAAAGAUUUGAAAAUAAUAUGUUGACUUUGAAGAUAGAGGAAGGGAUAGCCAAGAAGCUAGAAAAGAUCUCAGGAGUCAUUGACACAGGAGUAAGAAGAUGAAGAUAAGUGUAUGGCCACAAAUAAUGUUUGUCAUCUGCACUGAGACCAGGGAGAUGUUGAAGGGCAUCAUGCAGAAAGAAGGAAAUUUCACCUCAAAAGGAAGUGAAACUCACAUCCUAAGUUUAACAGUUUCAUCGUCAAUCUACUUGUUAAUAUCGAACAAAAAAUCACGUCUCAAUUCUUUGAUUAGGCCAACUUGUAUUAUUUGAAAUAAAAAUGUUAUAAAAAAGUUGGUAAAAAAAAAAAGUCCAUAUUCCCAGGUUUUGUGAUAUCGACACUUUGUGAUCCUUUCUUUCUUUCUACUUAUCAAAUGUUUUGAUUUUACAUAGUCUGCUCCCAACUCUCUCUUCUUAUUCUUACACAUUCCUUAAACUUUAUCUUAAUGCUACCUAGGAUGAUUCGAUCACAUUAUAUAUUGAUAGCUUUCAAAUCAAACCUGCACAUUUGAUUGCUUACUGGCCUAGUUCUAAUAUAGACAUUGCAAAAUACUCCAAAUAUGACUCUGUUUUCCAAUUUUCACCAUUGUUUUUUAUCCCAAUGAAUUGCAACAUCAUCUCUUUAUAUAUUUCCAAGUUAGAAACCAUAACCCCUUAUUUAUUUUCUUUCUUCCUCAUACUCUGAAAUUGAGCAAUUAUAAUUCUGUCUAUACUGCCUUCUAAAUAACUCUUAAAACCCAUGUAAGUUAUUCCCUUCCAUCUCUAUUGACACUUUACUAAACUAGUCCACUGUCAUUGAAUUCUUGCUACAACUUUUUACAGUGAUUUCUGUAUCUUUCUUUAGUUCAUUCUCCAAAAUACAGUUAGAGUAAUUACAUAAAAUUUAAAUCUGUGUUGACUCUUCCCUUACUUGAAAGAGAGAGAGAGGGAUGGAGAGAGACAGAGAAAGGGAGCUGUGCUUAAGAAAAUGAAGACACUC
Felis catus (domestic cat) is the source of this 1675-nucleotide long non-coding RNA. RefSeq lists it as uncharacterized. The transcript has 3 exons. Lineage: Eukaryota; Metazoa; Chordata; Mammalia; Carnivora; Felidae. The record is from RefSeq and is a predicted model, not a curated record.